Molecule: ribosomal RNA, 914 nt
Filed under: uncultured marine archaeon
Lineage: Archaea
Description: bacterial SSU rRNA
Rfam family: Archaeal small subunit ribosomal RNA
Source: RNAcentral
UUCCGGUUGAUCCUGCCGGAGGCUACCGCUAUUGGAGUUCGAUUAAGCCAUGCGAGUCGCGAGUCUUAGGGACUCGGCGUACCGCUCAGUAACACGUGGGUAACCUGCCCUAUGCUGGGGGAUAACCUCGGGAAACUGAGAAUAAUACCCCAUAGUUCACCACGCCUGGAACGGUGGGUGGACCAAAGCUCCGGCGGCAUAGGAUGGGCCUGCGGCGUAUCAGGUUGUAGGGGGUGUAAUGUACCCUCUAGCCCUCUACGCGUACGGGUGUUGAGAGACAUCGCCCGGAGAUGGAUUCUGAGACACGAAUCCAGACCCUACGGGGUGCAGCAGGCGCGAAAACUUGGCAAUGCGAGAAAUCGUGACCAGGGAACUCCAAGUGCAUCGGGUAAGACCGAUGCUUUUCUUGACUCUUCAAAGGUCUUGGAAUAAGGGGUGGGUAAGGACGGUGCCAGCCGCCGCGGUAAUACCGGCGCCCCAAGUGGUAGUCGCUUUUAUUGGGCCUAAAACGUCCGUAGCCGGUUUGGUACAUUCGUGGGUAAAUCAACCAGCUCAACUGGUUGAAUUCUGCGAGCACGGCCAGACUUGGGACCGGGAGAGGUGUGGGGUACUCUCAGGGUAGGGGUAAAAUCCUGUCAUCCUGAGGGGACCACCUGUUGCGAAGGCGCCACACUAGAACGGAUCCGACGGUCAGGGACGAAGCCUAGGGGCACGAACCGGAUUAGAUACCCGGGUAGUCCUAGGUGUAAACGCUGUGGACUUGAUGUUGGGGGCGCUCCGAGCGCACUCAGUGUCGAAGCGAAGGUGAUAAGUCCACUGCCUGGGGAGUACGGUCGCAAGGCUGAAACUUAAAGGAAUUGGCGGGGGAGCACCGCAACCUGAGGAUUGUGCGGUUUAAUUGGAUUCAACGCCGG